UGCGCAGGCGGACUAAUAAGUCAGUGGUGAAAUCUCUCGGCUCAACCGAGAAACUGCCAUUGAAACUGUUAGUCUUGAGUAUAGUUGUAGUGGGCGGAAUAUAGCAUGUAGCGGUGAAAUGCUUAGAUAUGCUAUAGAACACCGAUCGCGAAGGCAGCUCACUAAACUAUAACUGACGCUCAGGCACGAAAGCGUGGGGAGCAAACAGGAUUAGAUACCCUGGUAGUCC
RNAcentral lists this ribosomal RNA (229 nucleotides) under uncultured bacterium. RNAcentral describes it as "partial 16S ribosomal RNA". It matches the Rfam family "Bacterial small subunit ribosomal RNA", at positions 568 to 796 of the family's 1533-position model. The record is from RNAcentral.